GUUGCCGCCAAGAGAGCUGAAUGGGUGCUGGAAAUUGCUAAUGGAGCUGCUGUGCUUGGCGAUUUUUGUGAGUUUCGACAUUGAGGUAGGGGAUUUAUUUUUAAAGUUAAACAUUUUUAAUUUAGAAUGCCUACAAAGUUAUUGGAUAAGUGCAAAUGGUUAACAAUGGUUAAGAAUUUCUUAAUUAACAUGAAUGACUUGAAAUGCAUUUGAAAUUAGUUAGUCGUUUUGAUUAUUCUGAGCUGUGAUUGAACUUAGAUGAUGUUGUGAAUAAUGAUUAAUCUAGUGUAACUUAUUAAAUUGAAAUAUGCCGAGUUAUUUGUUGAAUAGCUGUUGAAUGGAUAAUUGAUGAAUUGAGUUUGGAUUGCUGCUGUGAAUGUAAUUGGUUUUGUUGUUAUGAGGGACUAAUUGAUAGAAAUAAGCUUGGUUUGAGGUUGUGAAAUUUGGAUUAAAUUUGAUGAUGUUUUAGUGUUUCAAAUGGAUUAUUGAAUUCAGGUUAUGGCUGUGAAUGUCUUUGGGCUUUGUUGUGAGUGUUUGAAGCUGUAAUUGAUAUUGUUUUCUCUGAUAUUGAUGGAAUUGUUGCAAAGUUCUGACUCUAUGUGAUUAUACUGAAUUAGUUGAGUUGUGUGGCUGAAAAUUAUGAUUGGAAUGAUUGAGAUUUUUUAUUGGAACUUUAGUUGAAUUCGUUGAUUUUGAGAAAUUGAAUUAAAAAUUGUUUGAUGAGAGAUUAUUGUGAUUUCGGUAUUUUGAUGGGUCAAAUUGAAAUUGUUGCUGUUGAGUUAUUUUACUGUAAUGGACUUAGUUAGUGAUUAAUUGAAGUUGGGCUUAAGGAAUAAUUGGAAGACUGAAUCUUAAAAUGUUGAAUUAAUUGCUGAAAAUAUGAUUUUUGAAAUUAAAAGAUGACUUUGGAAGUGAAUCAGUUAUUCAACAAUAAUCGAAAUGAUAUGAGAGUAAAGGCUGAGUAAACUAUAAUAAAAGUUGUUGCUGGGAUUCAAUUUUGAGAAGUUUGAAUUAACUAUAGAACUAGUUAUGAUUUUUCAAAGUUAAAAUGUAAAACUUGAUUUUCUGCAUUACUUUUAAAUGAAGCCAGAGACUUUGAAAAUCUAUAACUAAUUCUAUGAUGAUCGGAAUUGUAUGGGAUCAAGUCUGGAUUAAUCUUGGGAGUAUAGGAAGCUGGAAUGGAAAAUUUGAGACUUUUUCAUUAAGUUUAUGGUUUAUGGUGAAUUUUUGAAUUAUGAAUGUCAAAUCUGGUUUUCUGCAGAAAGCUUAACACAGCAGCAACUUGUUCCCUCUAUUACAUAUUCUCCAGUUUGAAUUUUGAAAUAGAACCAAUUUUAAAUGAAACUCUGGUCCUAGUACUUUAAUUUCAUAAAAAUUUAGAAUUGUUAGAGUUGUGGUUUUAAAGAUAUGGAUUUUUAAAUUAAGAUGUAUUAUGCAGUAAAAAUCAGAUUUUGUUUUCUAAGUUAGUAACUUUGAGACUUUAUAAUUUUUAAUUCUGGAAUGAUAUUGAGAUGCAAUCAAUUGGAGGUGAAAUUUGAGUAUGUUUAGUAUAUAUGAUUUAAAUUUCAGAGUUUUCCAUGUUUUAGUAAGUGAGUUAUGGGACUUGGAAGAGGUUGUGUUCAAUGAUUUGUAAAACAGACUUCAGCAGAAAAUUACCUAACUUCCAAGCUACGUAACUCCUUCAUUAAAAAUGGUAUGACCCUGGAACCAAUUGAGAAAGGAAUUUGGAUAAGUUAUGUUUAACCACAUUAAUUUUGAAGGUGGUUGGAUUUAAUUUGGAUUUUAUAUAAAAUUUUGAAUGUUGUAUGCUGCUGCUGUCUUUUGGUUUUAAGGCACUACAGAGCAGUCACGGUAUUGCUUAUAUUCCCGAAGCUAGAGUCCGUGAAAAAUUGUGAUUUUUAGUUUAAUAGAAAGUUUAAUCCGAGACGGUCACAUGGCUAUAAGGUUUGCGUAAUUCCGAAUUCGUUUGAUAUUUUAAAAAUAAAACUGAAAUUAGAUUGCCGAUGUUGUUUUGGUGAUUACUUGGAUAUGGAAUUUGAGAAAUAGAUUUUCUAUACUAUUAUCAAAUAUUUUUGAGAAUAUAUUAUUGUGGCAAUUGUUGAGAAAGGUUUGAUGAGAUGUUGAGAAAGAGUAAACCCGUAAGGGUGGUUAAGUCCGAGUUUUAGGGGAGAUGCUGUCGAAAUUUUAUAAAAACCUGAGGUUUUAUUUGAGAAGUCAUUUUACAAAAUAUGAACUUGAAAAAUUAUAUUAUUUGAGUUUUAUCUAAAUAAGAGAAGAAUUAUACUAUUUUGAAUUUAGAAUUACCAAGAAAAGGUUUGUGUUUCAAGUUUGAAUUAUUUAAGAAAGGAAUUAUGUUGAGUUUGAUUCAAUAUGAAAAGGGUUAUGAUUUGGGCUUGAAAUAAAGGAUUACUUUUCAGGAGUUUGGUCAAUUUUAUAAUAUUUGAUUCCGAAUGACAAGGAAAAAUGGUUUGAGCUAAGAUGUUGUAAAAGUGAAAGAUGUAAAGUUUGUAUAGUAUGAUUGAAUUUGAUUAGCAUAAGUGAACAGAGAAAAAAAGAGGUACUGCACAAGAAUGUGAAAGUGAAGAUGAACAAUGAAAAUGAUAAUAAAUAAUGAUAAUGAGAAUGAUUAUGCGAUGAUCUGCUGCGUGAAGGCAAUCAGAUAGAUAGUGGUACGACCACAGAACGUUUUCCAGUGCUACACAGCUAUUGAGAGCUAUACCUGCAACUGAUAGCCUGGGAUCACUUGCAGAGGAUAUUAAUUUGUACACGGCUAGAAUGCCGCACCUGUAACGCAAGGAUUGCUUAUAGAGGAUAUGAUUUCAUACACGGUUGGAAUGCCGCAACCUGUAAGGCAGGGUCUGCUUACAGAGGAUAUGACGCAUACGUCGGUUAGUGAGAACUGUACCUAUGCUGACUGGAAAACCAUACCCGUUUUAGCUGCUUUGGGUUACGUCUGGAGCGGGUAGAAACCGACAAAUGAGCUCAUUACCUGCACUUGGGCUAGACAUGCAUCAUCCUUAUUUGCGCAUCUGCAUUUGAUUGUGUUUGCUUGUCUUAUUUCUUUGUAAUUGUGCUGUUUGUCUUGUAAUUUGUUUGUAUGUUGAAUUAAAUCUCUUGCUUGUACUUUUAGUUUCUGAAUGUUUUAAAGAGAUUAAUAAUUGACGUUGUGAUUGAAAACUAAUUAAGUGACUGAAAAAUGAUUGAUAUAAUUAAUCUUGUCAUUGAGAUCUGUUUUGAGUUUAGGAAGAGGUGAUCAAUUAGUUAAAGUAAAGCUAAGAGUAUAUCCAAAAGGUUUGAUGAAAUAUAGUUUCCUUGAGUAUGUUAAUUAUUUGCAUUUUAUUUCAUUACUUUUACAGCAUUUUCGUUCCCUACUGAGAAUGUGCGGUUUGUUCUCACCCCAAAAAUCCUCCACCUUUUCAGUGACACAGGUUCAAAGACACAGUGUGAAGCUGCGGGCGAUUAUAGAAUUUAUUUAUAAGUUAAGUGUGAGUUAAUUUGCUUUCAUAGAGUUCCCUCGCCCUUAUUGCUUACGAUUUUUAUUUUAUACAGAGGGAUAGGAUUUGUAUCUGAGUUUUAUUUGAAAUCUUUUGUAUGACAGAUAUUAUUAUUAACAAUUAUGUGAUUAUUACUACUUGAAAAUGUUUG
This 3645-nucleotide long non-coding RNA is filed under the name Arachis ipaensis. RNAcentral's name for it is "long non-coding RNA (AIPA_LNC001217)". Lineage: Eukaryota; Viridiplantae; Streptophyta; Magnoliopsida; Fabales; Fabaceae. The record is from RNAcentral.